UACGUAGGGUGCGAGCGUUGUCCGGAAUUAUUGGGCGUAAAGAGCUCGUAGGCGGUGUGUCGCGUCGGCCGUGAAAACCUGCAGCUUAACUGUGGGCUUGCGGUCGAUACGGGCAUCACUGGAGUUCGGCAGGGGAGACUGGAAUUCCUGGUGUAGCGGUGAAAUGCGCAGAUAUCAGGAGGAACACCGGUGGCGAAGGCGGGUCUCUGGGCCACUACUGACGCUGAGAAGCGAAAGCAUGGGGAGCGAACAGG
Molecule: ribosomal RNA, 254 nt
Filed under: uncultured bacterium
Lineage: Bacteria
Description: partial 16S ribosomal RNA
Rfam family: Bacterial small subunit ribosomal RNA
Source: RNAcentral